GUUUGGGAGGAAGAAAAUUACAAAGGCUAUGUAGGAGGUGUGAUUAGUCAACUUCGGGAUCAUUACCCUGACGUCUCAAUAUUGGUUUUUAAUUUUCGUGAAGGGGAAUCACAGAGCCCAAUGGCAAAUACUCUGUCUGAGUAUGAUCUAACAAUAAUGGACUACCCUCGGCACUAUGAGUGUUGUCCCUUGCUUUCAAUGGAGGUGAUACACCAUUUUCCCUGUCUGAGUAUGAUCUGACAAUAAUGGACUACCCUCGGCACUAUGAAGGCUGUCCCUUGCUUUCAAUGGAGGUGAUGCACCAUUUUCUAAGAUCCAGUGAAAGUUGGCUCUCACUUGGGCAGCAAAACGUG
Molecule: long non-coding RNA, 353 nt
Filed under: Nicotiana benthamiana
Lineage: Eukaryota; Viridiplantae; Streptophyta; Magnoliopsida; Solanales; Solanaceae
Description: long non-coding RNA (NBEN_LNC005524)
Source: RNAcentral